This 483-nucleotide ribosomal RNA is filed under the name uncultured bacterium. RNAcentral describes it as "partial 16S ribosomal RNA". It matches the Rfam family "Bacterial small subunit ribosomal RNA", at positions 28 to 507 of the family's 1533-position model. The record is from RNAcentral.
GACGAACGCUGGCGGCGUGCUUAACACAUGCAAGUCGAACGCUGAAGCUCAGCUUUUGUUGGGUGGAUGAGUGGCGAACGGGUGAGUAACACGUGAGUAACCUGCCCCCUUCUUUGGGAUAACGCCUGGAAACGGGUGCUAAUACUGGAUAUUCACUGGUCUUCGCAUGGGGGUUGGUGGAAAGGGUUUUUCUGGUGGGGGAUGGGCUCGCGGCCUAUCAGCUUGUUGGUGGGGUGAUGGCCUACCAAGGCUUUGACGGGUAGCCGGCCUGAGAGGGUGACCGGUCACAUUGGGACUGAGAUACGGCCCAGACUCCUACGGGAGGCAGCAGUGGGGAAUAUUGCACAAUGGGCGCAAGCCUGAUGCAGCGACGCCGCGUGAGGGAUGGAGGCCUUCGGGUUGUGAACCUCUUUCGCUCAUGGUCAAGCCGCAACAAUGGUUGUGGUGAGGGUAGUGGGUAAAGAAGCGCCGGCUAACUACGUG